GACGAACGCUGGCGGCGUGCUUAACACAUGCAAGUCGAGCGGUAAGGCCCUUUCGGGGGUACACGAGCGGCGAACGGGUGAGUAACACGUGGGUGACCUGCCCUCAGCUCUGGGAUAAGCCUGGGAAACCGGGUCUAAUACUGGAUAUGACUCCAUGACGCAUGUUGUGGGGUGGAAAGCCUUGUGCGGCUGAGGAUGGGCCCGCGGCCUAUCAGCUUGUUGGGGGGUGAUGGCCUACCAAGGCGACGACGGGUAGCCGGCCUGAGAGGGCGACCGGCCACACUGGGACUGAGACACGGCCCAGACUCCUACGGGAGGCAGCAGUGGGGAAUCUUGCGCAAUGGGCGAAAGCCUGACGCAGCGACGCCGCGUGAGGGAUGACGGCCUGGUGUAACGUAC
This 399-nucleotide ribosomal RNA is filed under the name uncultured bacterium. RNAcentral's name for it is "bacterial SSU rRNA". It matches the Rfam family "Bacterial small subunit ribosomal RNA", at positions 28 to 430 of the family's 1533-position model. The record is from RNAcentral.